This 377-nucleotide ribosomal RNA is filed under the name uncultured eukaryote. Its description in RNAcentral is "partial 18S ribosomal RNA". It matches the Rfam family "Eukaryotic small subunit ribosomal RNA", at positions 592 to 975 of the family's 1831-position model. The record is from RNAcentral.
CAAUAGCGUAUAUUUAAGUUGUUGCAGUUAAAAAGCUCGUAGUUGGAUUUCGGGUGGGACGCAGCGGUCUCGCAUUGCGUUUGUACUGCUGCAGCCCUCCUUCUUGCCGGGGGCGGCCUCUCGGACUUCACUGUCUGGGGGUCAGAAUCGGCGAUGUUACUUUGAGUAAAUUAGAGUGUUCAAAGUAAGCUUACGCUCUGAAUAUAAUAGCAUGGGAUAACACGACAGGACUCUGGCCUAUCGUGUUGGUCUAUAGGACCAGAGUAAUGAUUAAGAGGGACAGUCGGGGGCAUUCGUAUUCCGUUGUCAGAGGUGAAAUUCUUGGAUUUACGGAAGACGAACAUCUGCGAAAGCAUUUGCCAAGGAUGUUUUCAUUG